RNAcentral lists this transfer RNA (74 nucleotides) under Podarcis lilfordi (Lilford's wall lizard). RNAcentral's name for it is "tRNA.Lys". It matches the Rfam family "tRNA". Rfam says of the family: Transfer RNA (tRNA) molecules are approximately 80 nucleotides in length. Their secondary structure includes four short double-helical elements and three loops (D, anti-codon, and T loops). Further hydrogen bonds mediate the characteristic L-shaped molecular structure. tRNAs have two regions of fundamental functional importance: the anti-codon, which is responsible for specific mRNA codon recognition, and the 3' end, to which the tRNAs corresponding amino acid is attached (by aminoacyl-tRNA synthetases). tRNAs cope with the degeneracy of the genetic code in two manners: having more than one tRNA (with a specific anti-codon) for a particular amino acid; and 'wobble' base-pairing, i.e. permitting non-standard base-pairing at the 3rd anti-codon position. The record is from RNAcentral. Lineage: Eukaryota; Metazoa; Chordata; Lepidosauria; Squamata; Lacertidae.
UCCUAGGAUAGCUCAGUUGGUAGAGCAUGAGACUCUUAAUCUCAGGGUCCGGGGUUUGAACCCCAUGUUGGGCA